UACGUAGGGUGCAAGCGUUGUCCGGAAUUAUUGGGCGUAAAGAGCUCGUAGGCGGCUCGUCGCGUCGGCUGUGAAAACCUGGGGCUCAACCCCGGGCCUGCAGCCGAUACGGGCGAGCUAGAAUUCGGUAGGGGAGACUGGAAUUCCUGGUGUAGCGGUGAAAUGCGCAGAUAUCAGGAGGAACACCGGUGGCGAAGGCGGGUCUCUGGGCCACUACUGACGCUGAGAAGCGAAAGCAUGGGGAGCGAACAGG
This 253-nucleotide ribosomal RNA is filed under the name uncultured bacterium. RNAcentral's name for it is "partial 16S ribosomal RNA". It matches the Rfam family "Bacterial small subunit ribosomal RNA", at positions 524 to 776 of the family's 1533-position model. The record is from RNAcentral.